RNAcentral lists this ribosomal RNA (482 nucleotides) under uncultured bacterium. Its description in RNAcentral is "partial 16S ribosomal RNA". It matches the Rfam family "Bacterial small subunit ribosomal RNA", at positions 30 to 507 of the family's 1533-position model. The record is from RNAcentral.
AUUGAACGCUGGCGGCAUGCCUUACACAUGCAAGUCGAACGGUAACGGGCCUUCGGGUGCCGACGAGUGGCGAACGGGUGAGUAAUACAUCGGAACGUGCCCGACCGUGGGGGAUAACGAGGCGAAAGCUUUGCUAAUACCGCAUACGAUCUACGGAUGAAAGCAGGGGACCGCAAGGCCUUGCGCGGACGGAGCGGCCGAUGGCAGAUUAGGUAGUUGGUGGGAUAAAAGCUUACCAAGCCGACGAUCUGUAGCUGGUCUGAGAGGAUGAUCAGCCACACUGAGACUUAGACACGGCCCAGACUCCUACGGGAGGCAGCAGUGGGGAAUUGUGGACAAAGGGCGCAAGCCUGAUCCAGCCAUGCCGCGUGCAGGAUGAAGGCCUUCGGGUUGUAAACUGCUUUUGUACGGAACGAAAAGCCUUCUUUUAAUACAGGAGGGUCAUGACGGUACCGUAAGAAUAAGCACCGGCUAACUACGUG